GUGAACUGCGAAUGGCUCAUUAAAUCAGUUAUAGUUUAUUUGAUGGUAUCUUGCUACAUGGAUAACUGUGGUAAUUCUAGAGCUAAUACAUGCAAUAAAGCCCCGACUUCUGGAAGGGGUGUAUUUAUUAGAUAAAAGACCAACGCGGUUCGCCGCUCCCUUGGUGAUUCAUAAUAACUUCUCGAAUCGCACGGCCUUGUGCUGGCGAUGCUUCAUUCAAAUAUCUGCCCUAUCAACUUUCGAUGGUAGGAUAGUGGCCUACCAUGGUUUCAACGGGUAACGGGGAAUAAGGGUUCGAUUCCGGAGAGGGAGCCUGAGAAACGGCUACCACAUCCAAGGAAGGCAGCAGGCGCGCAAAUUACCCAAUCCCGACACGGGGAGGUAGUGACAAUAAAUAACAAUAUAGGGCUCUUUCGGGUCUUAUAAUUGGAAUGAGUACAAUUUAAAUCCCUUAACGAGGAACAAUUGGAGGGCAAGUCUGGUGCCAGCAGCCGCGGUAAUUCCAGCUCCAAUAGCGUAUAUUAAAGUUGUUGCAGUUAAAAAGCUCGUAGUUGAACUUCAGACCUGGCCGGGCGGUCUGCCUAACGGUACGUACUGUCUGGCUGGGCCUUACCUCUUGGUGAGCCGGCAUGCCCUUUACUGGGUGUGUCGGGGAACCAGGACUUUUACCUUGAGAAAAUUAGAGUGUUCAAAGCAGGCCUACGCCCGAAUACAUUAGCAUGGAAUAAUAAAAUAGGACGUGCGGUUCUAUUUUGUUGGUUUCUAGAGUCGCCGUAAUGAUUAAUAGGGAUAGUUGGGGGCAUUAGUAUUCAGUUGCUAGAGGUGAAAUUCUUGGAUUUACUGAAGACUAACUACUGCGAAAGCAUUUGCCAAGGAUGUUUUCAUUAAUCAAGAACGAAGGUUAGGGGAUCGAAAACGAUCAGAUACCGUUGUAGUCUUAACAGUAAACUAUGCCGACUAGGGAUCGGGCGACCUCAAUUUUAUGUGUCGCUCGGCACCUUACGAGAAAUCAAAGUCUUUGGGUUCUGGGGGGGAGUAUGGUCGCUAGGCUGAAACUUAAAGGAAUUGACGGAAGGGCACCACCAGGAGUGGAGCCUGCGGCUUGAUUUGACUCAACCCGGGGAAACUCACCAGGUCCAGACAUGACUAGGAUUGACAGAUUGAUAGCUCUUUCAUGA
Molecule: ribosomal RNA, 1178 nt
Filed under: Hydnellum ferrugineum
Lineage: Eukaryota; Fungi; Basidiomycota; Agaricomycetes; Thelephorales; Thelephoraceae
Description: SSU rRNA
Rfam family: Eukaryotic small subunit ribosomal RNA
Source: RNAcentral